Molecule: transfer RNA, 60 nt
Filed under: Muntiacus sp. VIE8
Lineage: Eukaryota; Metazoa; Chordata; Mammalia; Artiodactyla; Cervidae
Description: tRNA-Ser
Source: RNAcentral
GAAAAAGUUCAUAGGAACUGCUAAUUCCUAUAAUCCGUGUAUAAUAACACGGCUUUUUCG